AGUUAACUGGCUUAGUUACAGAACAUUUCCUUUAUGUCUGCAAUUCUAUUCGGCCCAGGUGCCGCAAGUAAGAUAUUUAAACGACCAACCCCUCAAAUGUGAGUAAUGCAGCCGGCUAACAGAAGUCCAGUGGCAGUGACCGGGAGGGGAUAGCGACGGUGUUCCCGAUGCAGGAGGAGAAUUAAAGGAACAUGUCUGUGAGCAAAACUACCCAAUGUCAAGAGAGAAUCAUAUCUCCAAAGACUGGAAAUUGCUACUCUAACCUCCCUGUCAAGCAUAUAAAAUGGUCUGAUUACCAACUAACUGAUAAAGCAGCAUGUAGCUCCAAGGACUAAAAAGAAAAUACUUGAUUGGUUAGAGCAGAGGGAUUGCAGCUUAAAAAACAAACAAACAAAACACCCAAGAGAAGAGCCAAGCAUAGUAGCAUGCAUCUGUUAUCCCAGCUACCUGGGAGGUUGAAACAGGAGGAUCACUUGAGCCCAGGAGUUUGAGGCUGUGUUAUAAUCACACUUGUGAAUAGCCACUGCGCUCCAUCCUGGGCAACAUAGUGAGACCUCGUCUGAGAAAAAAAGAAAAACCUCGAGAAACAAAAUUAAAAUAAAAAACACAUUUACCAACCUAAACUGAAGGUCUGCUUUUAAUUUAAAAAUAGGCAGAUAUACCUAUUUUAGCCAUAUUAUAGCCAACUUACAAACACCUAAAAUAGAUUACACUGGAAAUCUGAAUUCCCAUAAAUGCAAAUUGCUGUGUAAGCACAACAUGGUAUUUAAGUAAGUACUUACUAACCCAUUGUCUUGUAAUGAUGAGUCAUCUGGUUGGAAAUCUACUCACCCAUGGGUAAGGACUACUACAGCUACCCAGUUCAACAACUACAGAAACAGCUGCUGCGUGACUUAGGGAGAAAAAUGGAGCUGAGAAGAGACACAUGAGCAUGAUAUCCCUGGAGCCUCCCCUUCCCUACAGCAGCGUGCAUACACCCCCUCCACUCCCCUCAGGCUCUUAGCUCCCUAAUUUAUGGUGCUGGCAGACCUGAGACAGGAAGGCAGGGGAUACUGCCAAGACCACAGAUGGUCCAGAAAACAGGUCAGUACAAGUGGGACAGUCAGGAAAGCAGCUGCUGACAGCAGGCCCUGGACAUGGUUUAGGUAAAACACUCAUUUCUGGAGGGCCUAUAAGAAGAGAGUAAACUAGUGAUCACAGAUUAGGCACUGGAUUUGAAGUCUCCCUC
Molecule: non-coding RNA, 1228 nt
Organism: Callithrix jacchus (white-tufted-ear marmoset)
Lineage: Eukaryota; Metazoa; Chordata; Mammalia; Primates; Cebidae
Source: RefSeq, a predicted model, not a curated record